UGGGGAAUUUUCCGCAAUGGGCGAAAGCCUGACGGAGCAAUACCGCGUGAGGGAUGACGGCCUAUGGGUUGUAAACCUCUUUUUUCAGGGAGGAAUCAAUGACGUGUACCUGAGGAAUAAGCAUCGGCUAACUCCGUGCCAGCAGCCGCGGUAAGACGGAGGAUGCAAGUGUUAUCCGGAAUCACUGGGCGUAAAGCGUCUGUAGGUGGUCAAAUAAGUCAACUGUUAAAUCUUGAGGCUCAACCUCAAAAUCGCAGUCGAAACUAUUCGACUAGAGUAUAGUAGGGGUAAAGGGAAUUUCCAGUGGAGCGGUGAAAUGCGUAGAGAUUGGAAAGAACACCGAUGGCGAAGGCACUUUACUGGGCUAUUACUAACACUGAGAGACGAAAGCUAGGGUAGCAAAUGGGAUUAGAUACCCCAGUAGUC
This 426-nucleotide ribosomal RNA is filed under the name uncultured phototrophic eukaryote. RNAcentral's name for it is "bacterial SSU rRNA". It matches the Rfam family "Bacterial small subunit ribosomal RNA", at positions 355 to 795 of the family's 1533-position model. The record is from RNAcentral.